RNAcentral lists this ribosomal RNA (484 nucleotides) under uncultured bacterium. RNAcentral's name for it is "partial 16S ribosomal RNA". It matches the Rfam family "Bacterial small subunit ribosomal RNA", at positions 30 to 507 of the family's 1533-position model. The record is from RNAcentral.
AUUGAACGCUGGCGGCAGGCCUAACACAUGCAAGUCGAGCGGAUGAAGGGAGCUUGCUCCUGGAUUCAGCGGCGGACGGGUGAGUAAUGCCUAGGAAUCUGCCUGGUAGUGGGGGAUAACGUCCGGAAACGGGCGCUAAUACCGCACACGUCCUGAGGGAGAAAGUGGGGGAUCUUCGGACCUCACGCUAUCAGAUGAGCCUAGGUCGGAUUAGCUAGUUGGUGGGGUAAAGGCCUACCAAGGCGACGAUCCGUAACUGGUCUGAGAGGAUGAUCAGUCACACUGGAACUGAGACACGGUCCAGACUCCUACGGGAGGCAGCAGUGGGGAAUAUUGGACAAUGGGCGAAAGCCUGAUCCAGCCAUGCCGCGUGGGUGAAGAAGGUCUUCGGAUUGUAAAGCACUUUAAGUUGGGAGGAAGAGCAGUAAGUUAAUACCUUGCUGUUUUGACGUUACCAACAGAAUAAGCAACGGCUAACUUCGUG